RNAcentral lists this ribosomal RNA (366 nucleotides) under uncultured fungus. RNAcentral's name for it is "eukaryotic LSU rRNA". It matches the Rfam family "Eukaryotic large subunit ribosomal RNA", at positions 40 to 398 of the family's 3401-position model. The record is from RNAcentral. Lineage: Eukaryota; Fungi.
AUAUCAAUAAGCGGAGGAAAAGAAACUAACAAGGAUUCCCCUAGUAACGGCGAGUGAAGCGGGAACAGCUCAAAUUUGAAACCUGGCGGCCUUCGGUCGUCCGGAUUGUAUUCUAGAGAAGCGUUUUCCACGCUGGUCCACGUAUAAGUGCCCUGGAACGGGCUGUCAUAGAGGGUGAGAAUCCCGUCCUUGAUGUGGGCUACCAGUGUUUUUGUGAUGCGCUUUCGAAGAGUCGAGUUGUUUGGGAAUGCAGCUCAAAGUGGGUGGUAAAUUCCAUCUAAAGCUAAAUAUUGGCCUGAGACCGAUAGCGAACAAGUACCGUGAGGGAAAGAUGAAAAGCACUUUGAAAAGAGAGUCAAACAGUAC